GGAGUGGUACCCAAGUGGUUAAGGGGAGCGUUUGCUAAACGCUUAGGGGGUCGAAAGAUCCCGCGUGGGUUCGAAUCCCACCCACUCCGCCA
Molecule: transfer RNA, 92 nt
Filed under: Bacillota bacterium
Lineage: Bacteria; Bacillati; Bacillota
Description: tRNA-Ser
Rfam family: tRNA
About the family: Transfer RNA (tRNA) molecules are approximately 80 nucleotides in length. Their secondary structure includes four short double-helical elements and three loops (D, anti-codon, and T loops).
Source: RNAcentral